ACCUGGCUGGCUCAGUCAGUAGAGCAUGCAACUCUUGAUCUCAAGGUCAUGAGUUCAAGCCCCAUGUUGGGUG
RNAcentral lists this transfer RNA (73 nucleotides) under Mustela putorius furo (domestic ferret). It matches the Rfam family "tRNA". From Rfam's summary of the family: Transfer RNA (tRNA) molecules are approximately 80 nucleotides in length. Their secondary structure includes four short double-helical elements and three loops (D, anti-codon, and T loops). Further hydrogen bonds mediate the characteristic L-shaped molecular structure. tRNAs have two regions of fundamental functional importance: the anti-codon, which is responsible for specific mRNA codon recognition, and the 3' end, to which the tRNAs corresponding amino acid is attached (by aminoacyl-tRNA synthetases). tRNAs cope with the degeneracy of the genetic code in two manners: having more than one tRNA (with a specific anti-codon) for a particular amino acid; and 'wobble' base-pairing, i.e. permitting non-standard base-pairing at the 3rd anti-codon position. Lineage: Eukaryota; Metazoa; Chordata; Mammalia; Carnivora; Mustelidae. The record is from Rfam by way of RNAcentral.